GGAUGAACGCUGGCGGCGUGCCUAAUACAUGCAAGUCGAGCGAACAGACGAGGAGCUUGCUCCUCUGACGUUAGCGGCGGACGGGUGAGUAACACGUGGAUAACCUACCUAUAAGACUGGGAUAACUUCGGGAAACCGGAGCUAAUACCGGAUAAUAUAUUGAACCGCAUGGUUCAAUAGUGAAAGACGGUUUUGCUGUCACCUAUAGAUGGAUCCGCGCCGCAUUAGCUAGUUGGUAAGGUAACGGCUUACCAAGGCAACGAUGCGUAGCCGACCUGAGAGGGUGAUCGGCCACACUGGAACUGAGACACGGUCCAGACUCCUACGGGAGGCAGCAGUAGGGAAUCUUCCGCAAUGGGCGAAAGCCUGACGGAGCAACGCCGCGUGAGUGAUGAAGGUCUUCGGAUCGUAAAACUCUGUUAUUAGGGAAGAACAAAUGUGUAAGUAACUAUGCACGUCUUGACGGUACCUAAUCAGAAAGCCACGGCUAACUACGUG
Molecule: ribosomal RNA, 498 nt
Filed under: uncultured bacterium
Lineage: Bacteria
Description: partial 16S ribosomal RNA
Rfam family: Bacterial small subunit ribosomal RNA
Source: RNAcentral